CAUUAAGUAGCUUAAAGCAAGCACUGGUCUCUUAAACCAAAUUAUAGUAAAUUAGCACUUACUCUUAAUGA
This 71-nucleotide transfer RNA is filed under the name Ips grandicollis. RNAcentral describes it as "tRNA-Lys". Lineage: Eukaryota; Metazoa; Arthropoda; Insecta; Coleoptera; Curculionidae. The record is from RNAcentral.